UACGUAGGGUCCAAGCGUUAUCCGGAAUUACUGGGCGUAAAGCGUCUGUAGGCGGCUUUUCAAGUCGGGUGCGAAAUCUUGUGGCUCAACCAUAUAGAUGUUGCCCGAAACUGUAGAGCUAGAGGUAGGUAGAGCAAGUGGAACUUGCGGUGUAGGAGUGACAUCCGUAGAUAUCGCAAAGAACACCAAUGGCGAAGGCAGCUUGCUGGGCCUUACCUGACGCUCAGAGACGAAAGCGUGGGGAGCGAACGGG
Molecule: ribosomal RNA, 253 nt
Filed under: uncultured bacterium
Lineage: Bacteria
Description: partial 16S ribosomal RNA
Rfam family: Bacterial small subunit ribosomal RNA
Source: RNAcentral